UGAACGCUGGCGGUGUGCUUAACACAUGCAAGUCGUACGAGGUCCAUUCUCCUAUAUGCUCUCGGGCAUAUAAAAAUGGACUGCAGUGGCGGACGGGUGCGUAACGCGUAAGAACUUACCUUUUGGAGGGGGAUAACAUUGGGAAACCGCUGCUAAUACCCCAUAAUGCUGAGGAGCUAAAUGGUGAACAACCGCCAAGAGAGAGGCUUGCGUCUGAUUAGCUAGUUGGUGGGGGUAAUGGCCCCCCAAGGCGACGAUCAGUAGCUGGUCUGAGAGGAUGAUCAGCCACACUGGGACUGAGACACGGCCCAGACUCCUACGGGAGGCAGCAGUGAGGAAUUUUCCGCAAUGGGCGAAAGCCUGACGGAGCAAUACCGCGUGAAGGAAGAAGGCCCGUGGGUCGUAAACUUCUUUUCUCAGAGAAGAAGAUCUGACGGUAUCUGAGGAAUAAGCGCCGGCUAAGUCUGUGCCAGCAGCCGCGGUAAUACAGACGGCGCAAGCGUUAUCCGGAAUGAUUGGGCGUAAAGCGUCUGUAGGUGGUUCGCGAAGUCUACUGUCAAAUCCCAGGGCUCAACCUUGGACAGGCAGUGGAGAACUCGCGGACUAGAGUACGGUAGGGGUAGAGGGAAUUCCCGGUGAAGCAGUGAAAUGCACAGAGAUCGGGAAGAACACCAGUGGCGAAGGCACUCUACUAGGCCGUGACUGACACUGAGA
RNAcentral lists this ribosomal RNA (714 nucleotides) under uncultured bacterium. Its description in RNAcentral is "bacterial SSU rRNA". It matches the Rfam family "Bacterial small subunit ribosomal RNA", at positions 30 to 751 of the family's 1533-position model. The record is from RNAcentral.